GACGAACGCUGGCGGCGUGCCUAACACAUGCAAGUCGAGCGGGGUCCAUCCGGUAGCAAUACCGGGGAAGACCUAGCGGCGAACGGGUGAGUAACACGUGAGAAACCUGCCCCGAAGUCUGGGAUAACCCGAGGAAACUCGAGCUAAUACCGGAUGUCUUCUUCUGAUCGCAUGGUCGGAUGAAGAAAGAUUUAUCGCUUCGGGAGGGUCUCGCGGCCUAUCAGCUAGUUGGCGGGGUAACGGCCCACCAAGGCGUCGACGGGUAGCUGGUCUGAGAGGACGAUCAGCCACACUGGGACUGAGACACGGCCCAGACUCCUACGGGAGGCAGCAGUGGGGAAUAUUGCGCAAUGGGCGAAAGCCUGACGCAGCAACGCCGCGUGCGGGAUGAAGGCCUCGGUUGU
RNAcentral lists this ribosomal RNA (404 nucleotides) under uncultured bacterium. Its description in RNAcentral is "bacterial SSU rRNA". It matches the Rfam family "Bacterial small subunit ribosomal RNA", at positions 28 to 426 of the family's 1533-position model. The record is from RNAcentral.